GACAGCCAGGAUGUUGGCUUAGAAGCAGCCAUCAUUUAAAGAAAGCGUAAUAGCUCACUGGUCGAGUCGGCCUGCGCGGAAGAUGUAACGGGGCUAAACUGUGCACCGAAGCUGCGGCAGCGACACUAUGUGUUGUUGGGUAGGGGAGCGUUCUGUAAGCCUGCGAAGGUGGCCUGUGAGGGUUGCUGGAGGUAUCAGAAGUGCGAAUGCUGACAUAAGUAACGAUAAUGCGGGUGAAAAGCCCGCACGCCGGAAG
Molecule: ribosomal RNA, 256 nt
Filed under: Klebsiella aerogenes
Lineage: Bacteria; Pseudomonadati; Pseudomonadota; Gammaproteobacteria; Enterobacterales; Enterobacteriaceae
Description: partial 23S ribosomal RNA
Rfam family: Bacterial large subunit ribosomal RNA
Source: RNAcentral